AGGUGCACUGGUGGACAGGUGCGUCUUGUUCUGCUGAUUGCAUGGAGGAGUAUUUAAACAGGAGGCUGCCAGCACUUCGAUGCGAGAGUGUUUGCUUACAGUGGUAACGAACUCAGCCACCUCUAGACUAAGCUUUGUUUUUUGUGCUCCUUGUAACCUUGUUUAUGCUUCUUUGCAGGCUGAGAACCUGACUCUUGGAUUUACUGCCUCAGAAGACUCUGUGGCUAAAGACUACCUACAGACUUUGCUUCCUGAAUUAUUGUCUUCGACUGAAUUUCGCUCUGGCUGGCAGCCAUCCUGAUUCCUUCGUUUCUCUGCAUCUGGACAUUAAGUGUAUCCUGUCCACCCUCCUACAUAAGCCAUUACAACUUGAAUUACCUCAAGGUUUUUGCUCCACCUCAGAACAGCACCAGGAGAAAACAUCAAGACGAACACUGCUUACAUGGACCUAAACCCCGAAUCCCUCAACCCCUGGCAACCUGACUGCAUCAAACUAUUGGAGAUUUACCCAUUCUUGUUCUUGAUUAUUAGUCACUCAAUAAGCAUCAUUUUACUGAUUUUCGUUCUCUGGAAUGUCCUUCUGUAUGUGGGUCAGAGCUGUUUCGAACAUAAUGACAGAACACUCUCGCCAACCAGACCCAGAAGAGGCACUCCACAGAACACUUUCUGAACACGCUAAUCAGAUCCAAUUUCAUGAUUCUUCUCUCCGUUCCCUUUCAGAGAAACUAUGACAAACAAACCAACAGUUAGAACAGAUAACCGCCAUGUUACAACAGACUUUAAAUCCUCAUUCCGCCAUACAGGUAGAUUGCGCUGCCGCACCGCCAGAGUCUCAACAACUUCUGCAUUCCUGUGACAUCACCUCCCCUAACCCAGAGGAGGUUUCUGGUGAGGUGGGGCAUUUUAAAGGAUUCUUAUAGGAUUUCGUACCCUAGCUGUUGCCUCUGGUUGGAAUAAUGAUGCAUUAAAGACAACCUUUUUCACGCCUUAGAGGAUGCCCUACAGGAUGAAUUAGCCUUGGUGGAUGAACCCCCCACAUUAGAUGAAGUGAUUACCUUGGCAACUAGAGUUAACAAUGGACUAAGAGAAAGAAGAAGAGCCAGUGCCUUGAGAUCCAGACCUUUAGAGACAACAAAUUUUUCACCCUGUGUUAAAACACCAUCUCAGCAAUCCAUUUCUGAUCCUGAGCCUAUGUUGUUGGGAUGAACCUGUCUUUUGUUUGAGGAGAAACAGAGACGUAAACUAACCAGACAGUGUUUUUACUGUGGCUCACCAGAUCAUUUUGUAGCUAACUGCCCCACGGUUCCCUGGUCGUCAAAAGACAGGGUCCACCAACUGUAAAGGGGGUGGUUGGUGGACCAUUCACAGAUUGUUAAGCCCCCCAGAUUCAGCUUACCAGCUACCAUCAUAGUAGAUCAACAUACUUUGCCCUUAUCUGCUUUAAUUGAUUUUGGAUGUGAGCAGAACUUGAUAGAUUCCGAGCUGGUAGCUCAGGCAGGGAUUGAGGUAGAGUCUCUCACUUCACCAUGUUCCGUCUUAGCCUUAGAUGGGAGAGGACUGCAGAAAAUAACUCAACGCACCAAGCCACUAGAACUUCUGCUGUCAGGUAAUCAUAGGAAAAUGAUAUCCUUUUUUGUGUUUCCAGUAUCUCAAAGUGCCAUGGUGCUAGGUUUUCCCUGGUUACAGGAACAUAA
Molecule: long non-coding RNA, 1694 nt
Organism: Girardinichthys multiradiatus
Lineage: Eukaryota; Metazoa; Chordata; Actinopteri; Cyprinodontiformes; Goodeidae
Exons: 2
Source: RefSeq, a predicted model, not a curated record